UUAAAUUGAAGAGUUUGAUCAUGGCUCAGAUUGAACGCUGGCGGCAGGCCUAACACAUGCAAGUCGAACGGUAACAGGAAGCAGCUUGCUGCUUCGCUGACGAGUGGCGGACGGGUGAGUAAUGUCUGGGAAACUGCCUGAUGGAGGGGGAUAACUACUGGAAACGGUGGCUAAUACCGCAUAACGUCGCAAGACCAAAGAGGGGGACCUUCGGGCCUCUUGCCAUCAGAUGUGCCCAGAUGGGAUUAGCUAGUUGGUGAGGUAACGGCUCACCAAGGCGACGAUCCCUAGCUGGUCUGAGAGGAUGACCAGCCACACUGGAACUGAGACACGGUCCAGACUCCUACGGGAGGCAGCAGUGGGGAAUAUUGCACAAUGGGCGCAAGCCUGAUGCAGCCAUGCCGCGUGUAUGAAGAAGGCCUUCGGGUUGUAAAGUACUUUCAGCGGGGAGGAAGGUGUUGUGGUUAAUAACCACAGCAAUUGACGUUACCCGCAGAAGAAGCACCGGCUAACUCCGUGCCAGCAGCCGCGGUAAUACGGAGGGUGCAAGCGUUAAUCGGAAUUACUGGGCGUAAAGCGCACGCAGGCGGUCUGUCAAGUCGGAUGUGAAAUCCCCGGGCUCAACCUGGGAACUGCAUUCGAAACUGGCAGGCUUGAGUCUUGUAGAGGGGGGUAGAAUUCCAGGUGUAGCGGUGAAAUGCGUAGAGAUCUGGAGGAAUACCGGUGGCGAAGGCGGCCCCCUGGACAAAGACUGACGCUCAGGUGCGAAAGCGUGGGGAGCAAACAGGAUUAGAUACCCUGGUAGUCCACGCCGUAAACGAUGUCUACUUGGAGGUUGUGCCCUUGAGGCGUGGCUUCCGGAGCUAACGCGUUAAGUAGACCGCCUGGGGAGUACGGCCGCAAGGUUAAAACUCAAAUGAAUUGACGGGGGCCCGCACAAGCGGUGGAGCAUGUGGUUUAAUUCGAUGCAACGCGAAGAACCUUACCUGGUCUUGACAUCCACAGAACUUUCCAGAGAUGGACUGGUGCCUUCGGGAACUGUGAGACAGGUGCUGCAUGGCUGUCGUCAGCUCGUGUUGUGAAAUGUUGGGUUAAGUCCCGCAACGAGCGCAACCCUUAUCCUUUGUUGCCAGCGGUUAGGCCGGGAACUCAAAGGAGACUGCCAGUGAUAAACUGGAGGAAGGUGGGGAUGACGUCAAGUCAUCAUGGCCCUUACGACCAGGGCUACACACGUGCUACAAUGGCGCAUACAAAGAGAAGCGACCUCGCGAGAGCAAGCGGACCUCAUAAAGUGCGUCGUAGUCCGGAUUGGAGUCUGCAACUCGACUCCAUGAAGUCGGAAUCGCUAGUAAUCGUGGAUCAGAAUGCCACGGUGAAUACGUUCCCGGGCCUUGUACACACCGCCCGUCACACCAUGGGAGUGGGUUGCAAAAGAAGUAGGUAGCUUAACCUUCGGGAGGGCGCUUACCACUUUGUGAUUCAUGACUGGGGUGAAGUCGUAACAAGGUAACCGUAGGGGAACCUGCGGUUGGAUCACCUCCUUACCUUAAAGAAGC
Molecule: ribosomal RNA, 1556 nt
Filed under: Salmonella enterica subsp. enterica serovar Thompson
Lineage: Bacteria; Pseudomonadati; Pseudomonadota; Gammaproteobacteria; Enterobacterales; Enterobacteriaceae
Description: bacterial SSU rRNA
Rfam family: Bacterial small subunit ribosomal RNA
Source: RNAcentral